This 378-nucleotide unclassified non-coding RNA is filed under the name uncultured Actinomycetes bacterium. Its description in RNAcentral is "uncultured actinobacterium contains 16S-23S intergenic spacer region". Lineage: Bacteria; Bacillati; Actinomycetota; Actinomycetes. The record is from RNAcentral.
UCCGAGUUGUCCCCGGCAGUCCCCUUAGAGUCCCCGGCAUUACCCGCUGGCAACUAAGAGCAGGGGUUGCGCUCGUUGCGGCACUUAAGCCAACAUCUCACGACGCGAGCUGACGACAGCCAUGCACCACCUGUGACGGCGCCCCGAAGGGGGCUCCUAUUUCUAGGAGUUGCACCGACAUGUCAAGCCCAGGUAAGGUUCUUCGCGUUGCGUCGAAUUGAACCACAUGCUCCGCUGCUUGUGCGGGCCCCCGUCAAUUCCUUUGAGUUUUAGCCUUGCGGCCGUACUCCCCAGGCGGGGCACUUAAUGCGUUAGCUGCGACACGGACGGAGUCGACACCGCCCACAUCUAGUGCCCAUCGUUUACGGCGUGGACUAC